This 914-nucleotide ribosomal RNA is filed under the name uncultured marine archaeon. RNAcentral's name for it is "bacterial SSU rRNA". It matches the Rfam family "Archaeal small subunit ribosomal RNA", at positions 1 to 922 of the family's 1478-position model. The record is from RNAcentral.
UUCCGGUUGAUCCUGCCGGACCUGACUGCUAUCGGAUUGAUACUAAGCCAUGCGAGUCUUUGUAGUAAUACAAGGCAUACGGCUCAGUAACGCGUAGUCAACCUAACCUAUGGACGGGAAUAACCUCGGGAAACUGAGAAUAAUGCCCGAUAGAACAUUAUGCCUGGAAUGGUUUAUGUUCCAAAUGAUUUAUCGCCAUAGGAUGGGACUGCGGCCUAUCAGUUUGUUGGUGAGGUAAUGGCCCACCAAGACUAUUACAGGUACGGGCUCUGAGAGGAGUAGCCCGGAGAUGGGUACUGAGACACGGACCCAGGCCCUAUGGGGCGCAGCAGGCGAGAAAACUUUGCAAUGUGCGAAAGUACGACAAGGUUAAUCCGAGUGAUUUCUGCUAAAGAGAUCUUUUGUUAGUCCUAGAAACACUAACGAAUAAGGGGUGGGCAAGUUCUGGUGUCAGCCGCCGCGGUAAAACCAGCACCUCAAGUGGUCAGGAUGAUUAUUGGGCCUAAAGCAUCCGUAGCCGGCUCUGUAAGUUUUCGGUUAAAUCUGUACGCUCAACGUACAGGCUGCCGGGAAUACUGCAGAACUAGGGAGUGGGAGAGGUAGACGGUACUCGGUAGGAAGUGGUAAAAUGCUUUGAUCUAUCGAUGACCACCUGUGGCGAAGGCGGUCUACCAGAACACGUCCGACGGUGAGGGAUGAAAGCUGGGGGAGCAAACCGGAUUAGAUACCCGGGUAGUCCCAGCUGUAAACUAUGCAAACUCAGUGAUGCAUUGGCUUGUGGCCAAUGCAGUGCUGCAGGGAAGCCGUUAAGUUUGCCGCCUGGGAAGUACGUACGCAAGUAUGAAACUUAAAGGAAUUGGCGGGGGAGCACCACAAGGGGUGAAGCCUGCGGUUCAAUUGGAUUCAACGCCGGG